UACAGAGGUCCCAAGCGUUGUUCGGAUUCAUUGGGCGUAAAGGGCGCGUAGGCGGCGCUGUAAGUCGGGGGUGAAAUUUCGGAGCUUAACUCCGAGACUGCAUUCGAUACUGCGGUGCUCGAGGACUGGAGAGGAGACUGGAAUUCAUGGUGUAGCAGUGAAAUGCGUAGAGAUCAUGAGGAAGACCAGUGGCGAAGGCGGGUCUCUGGACAGUUCCUGACACUGAGGCACGAAGGCCAGGGGAGCAAACGGG
This 253-nucleotide ribosomal RNA is filed under the name uncultured bacterium. Its description in RNAcentral is "partial 16S ribosomal RNA". It matches the Rfam family "Bacterial small subunit ribosomal RNA", at positions 524 to 776 of the family's 1533-position model. The record is from RNAcentral.